This 973-nucleotide ribosomal RNA is filed under the name Bacillus sp. (in: firmicutes). RNAcentral describes it as "bacterial SSU rRNA". It matches the Rfam family "Bacterial small subunit ribosomal RNA", at positions 49 to 1000 of the family's 1533-position model. Lineage: Bacteria; Bacillati; Bacillota; Bacilli; Caryophanales; Bacillaceae. The record is from RNAcentral.
UAAUACUGCAAGUCGAGCGAACUGAUUAGAAGCUUGCUUCUAUGACGUUAGCGGCGGACGGGUGAGUAACACGUGGGCAACCUGCCUGUAAGACUGGGAUAACUUCGGGAAACCGAAGCUAAUACCGGAUAGGAUCUUCUCCUUCAUGGGAGAUGAUUGAAAGAUGGUUUCGGCUAUCACUUACAGAUGGGCCCGCGGUGCAUUAGCUAGUUGGUGAGGUAACGGCUCACCAAGGCAACGAUGCAUAGCCGACCUGAGAGGGUGAUCGGCCACACUGGGACUGAGACACGGCCCAGACUCCUACGGGAGGCAGCAGUAGGGAAUCUUCCGCAAUGGACGAAAGUCUGACGGAGCAACGCCGCGUGAGUGAUGAAGGCUUUCGGGUCGUAAAACUCUGUUGUUAGGGAAGAACAAGUACGAGAGUAACUGCUCGUACCUUGACGGUACCUAACCAGAAAGCCACGGCUAACUACGUGCCAGCAGCCGCGGUAAUACGUAGGUGGCAAGCGUUAUCCGGAAUUAUUGGGCGUAAAGCGCGCGCAGGCGGUUUCUUAAGUCUGAUGUGAAAGCCCACGGCUCAACCGUGGAGGGUCAUUGGAAACUGGGGAACUUGAGUGCAGAAGAGAAAAGCGGAAUUCCACGUGUAGCGGUGAAAUGCGUAGAGAUGUGGAGGAACACCAGUGGCGAAGGCGGCUUUUUGGUCUGUAACUGACGCUGAGGCGCGAAAGCGUGGGGAGCAAACAGGAUUAGAUACCCCGGUAGUCCACGCCGUAAACGAUGAGUGCUAAGUGUUAGAGGGUUUCCGCCCUUUAGUGUUGCAGCUAACGCAUUAAGCACUCCGCCUGGGGAGUACGGUCGCAAGACUGAAACUCACAGGAAUUGACGGCGGGCCCGCACAAGCGGUGGAGCAUGGGGGUUCAAUUCUAAGCUACCUCNNAGAACCUUACCAGGCCCGGACACCCCCCGACAACCC